CAGUCGCCGCGGUAAUACGUAGGGCGCAAGCGUUGUCCGGAAUUAUUGGGCGUAAAGAGCUCGUAGGCGGUCUGUCGCGUCUGGUGUGAAAUCCCGAGGCUCAACCUCGGGCUUGCAUCGGGUACGGGCAGACUAGAGUGCGGUAGGGGUGACUGGAAUUCCUGGUGUAGCGGUGGAAUGCGCAGAUAUCAGGAGGAACACCGAUGGCGAAGGCAGGUCUCUGGGCCGCAACUGACGCUGAGGAGCGAAAGCAUGGGGAGCGAACAGGAUUAGAUACCCCCGUAGUCCCUGUCUCUUAUAC
This 301-nucleotide ribosomal RNA is filed under the name uncultured bacterium. RNAcentral's name for it is "partial 16S ribosomal RNA". It matches the Rfam family "Bacterial small subunit ribosomal RNA", at positions 509 to 807 of the family's 1533-position model. The record is from RNAcentral.